Long non-coding RNA from Corticium candelabrum, 1564 nucleotides. RefSeq lists it as uncharacterized. The transcript is spliced from 4 exons. Lineage: Eukaryota; Metazoa; Porifera; Homoscleromorpha; Homosclerophorida; Plakinidae. The record is from RefSeq and is a predicted model, not a curated record.
UUUCGUCUAGUUUGUAGUGGAUGUGUCACUGUCUAGCUGCAAUGUAUCGAGGAUGAAAAUUAGUCAAGCUACAUUCUGUGUUCUGUUCUCAGCAUUACUGCUACACGUGCAGUUUGAUAUAUCGACAUCGGGUGACCUCCAAGGGCUUGGAUUUUGUUAUAUAGAUGGAUACAACAAAGAUAACGAAAUUCGGCUCUACGACAGCCUUACACUAAACUGUGUAUGUAUUAGUUUCGAAGAAAUCACUUGGAAGCUGGACAGGCAAAAGAUAGUACCAGGAAGAUUAUUUAGUAUCGAGCAUAGUGAGAAGGAAGGGCUGCUACUCAGCAAGCUAACAAUUACUAACUUUCGACAAAAUGGACAAUUUUGCUGUAGCACAAAUACAUUUGAUGCUGUAUGUGUCAAUGUGACAUAUGCUCUUCCUCCAUCGGCUAAUGUAUCAAUAGAAAAUUACCAUUACAUAGGAAAUAGAGUCUAUUUGGUGCUGGUCAGCUGUGCAAUUUGGACACAAUCGGAAAAAGUUAGAAAUGAAGCCCUAUCUGCAGUUGUUUACAAUGAUCGAGAGUCAACGAAUGAAUAUGAACUUACGGAGGACAGAAAUCAAACUGAUGGGAAGAUCAAGUAUUUUAUUAGAGAACAGUACAUCUAUGAAAAUUUUAGCUGUGGCUCUUAUCUGCAUUGCAAAUUUUGGGACGCGACUGUUCACAGAUCCUUUGAGAGUCCAAAUAUUAUAUUUCAGCCACAACCUUGUUUGCCUACCACAGAAACAAAAACUCAGAGAAAACUAUCGCUCUAACUCCAAGUACAGUACCUACCACAGAAACAAACUUAGUGAUAACUAUCGCUUUAUCUUCUUCAAGUGCAGUACUUACACUGAUUAUUCUACUUCUUUUAAUAAUCGGCUGUCUUCGACUCAAACGCAACAGACGUAAACAGCUAGCAUCAGGCAUACCGUCUAACAACACUGAGAUUGGAUCGAGCUGGAACGAUUCCUACAACGCUACUGAUUUAGGCGAUCAAGCUACUAGAGUUACUACUGUCUCUAAACCUAGGAAAGAGCUUUCUUCGAUGGAGGCUAUUAAUAUUAGGACUAGCUCUGGACCUACAGUUUCUGAACUGGAAAGCACCAAGUCAAUAGUAACAGAAGUUGAUACAAGUGAAGCAAGAAGACCAGGAGCCAAUUUCAUGAACAGUGCAAGCUCUAAAGCAAUUAGAGACAGUGCAGAUAUGCAAACGAGUGUUGCAAUGGAAGCUGCCACAACAGCAUCUGAUAAUGGGACCAAAUUAGACAGAAUUGAAAGAAAAUUAGACAUCAUUUUGUCAGAAGACAGGACGGUUACGGCAAGCUGAUCAUAGGCAGGGCAGUGAACAGUUGCGUGCGUGCGUUCGUGUGUGUUGUGCGUGUUUGUUUGUUUGUAUGUGUGUCAUUGCGGAUUCAAUUUGCUUAUUAGUGUAAAAAAUAUCAGGAUAAAACAUUCACAAUUAGUGCAACGAAUAGCUACAAUGUAUACCUGUACCAACAGAUCAUUCCAGCAAGCCCUAGAACAUCAGUAAUAUGUUAAUU